RNAcentral lists this ribosomal RNA (273 nucleotides) under uncultured bacterium. RNAcentral describes it as "partial 16S ribosomal RNA". It matches the Rfam family "Bacterial small subunit ribosomal RNA", at positions 524 to 796 of the family's 1533-position model. The record is from RNAcentral.
UACGGAGGGUGCAAGCGUUAAUCGGAAUUACUGGGCGUAAAGCGUACGUAGGCGGUUAUUUAAGUCAGAUGUGAAAGCCCCGGGCUUAACUUGGGAACUGCAUUUGAAACUGGGUAACUAGAGUUUAGUAGAGGGGAGUGGAAUUUCAGGUGUAGCGGUGAAAUGCGUAGAGAUCUGAAGGAACACCAGUGGCGAAGGCGACUCCCUGGACUAAAACUGACGCUGAGGUACGAAAGCGUGGGUAGCAAACAGGAUUAGAAACCCUAGUAGUCC